CAAUAGCGUAUAUUUAAGUUGUUGCAGUUAAAAAGCUCGUAGUUGGAUUUCGGGUGGGACGCAGCGGUCUCGCAUUGCGUUUGUACUGCUGCAGCCCUCCUUCUUGCCGGGGGCGGCCUCUCGGACUUCACUGUCUGGGGGUCAGAAUCGGCGAUGUUACUUUGAGUAAAUUAGAGUGUUCAAAGCAAGCUUACGCUCUGAAUAUAAUAGCAUGGGAUAACACGACAGGACUCUGGCAUAUCGUGUUGGUCUAUAGGACCAGAGUAAUGAUUAAGAGGGACAGUCGGGGGCAUUCGUAUUCCGUUGUCAGAGGUGAAAUUCUUGGAUUUACGGAAGACGAACAUCUGCGAAAGCAUUUGCCAAGGAUGUUUUCAUUGA
RNAcentral lists this ribosomal RNA (378 nucleotides) under uncultured eukaryote. Its description in RNAcentral is "partial 18S ribosomal RNA". It matches the Rfam family "Eukaryotic small subunit ribosomal RNA", at positions 592 to 976 of the family's 1831-position model. The record is from RNAcentral.